UACGGGGGGGGCAAGCGUUGUUCGGAAUUACUGGGCGUAAAGGGUUCGUAGGUGGCCAACUAAGUCAUACGUGAAAUCCCUCAGCUUAACUGGGGAACUGCGUCUGAUACUGGAUGGCUUGAGUUUGGGAGAGGGAUGCGGAAUUCCAGGUGUAGCGGUGAAAUGCGUAGAUAUCUGGAGGAACACCGGUGGCGAAGGCGGCAUCCUGGACCAACACUGACACUGAGGAGCGAAAGCCAGGGGAGCAAACGGG
Molecule: ribosomal RNA, 253 nt
Filed under: uncultured bacterium
Lineage: Bacteria
Description: partial 16S ribosomal RNA
Rfam family: Bacterial small subunit ribosomal RNA
Source: RNAcentral